RNAcentral lists this non-coding RNA (92 nucleotides) under Stenotrophomonas lactitubi. Lineage: Bacteria; Pseudomonadati; Pseudomonadota; Gammaproteobacteria; Lysobacterales; Lysobacteraceae. RNAcentral also lists the same sequence under 1 other name. The record is from RNAcentral.
GUCCAUGGCGGGCGGUGCGUGGGGACCCUUGGGUCCGUCGGCUUCUUCUUUGCUCUUGACCGGCACGCCAACCCGCACCGCCCGCCACCUUG